This 429-nucleotide ribosomal RNA is filed under the name bacterium. RNAcentral describes it as "partial 16S ribosomal RNA". It matches the Rfam family "Bacterial small subunit ribosomal RNA", at positions 355 to 776 of the family's 1533-position model. The record is from RNAcentral.
UAGGGAAUCUUCCGCAAUGGACGCAAGUCUGACGGAGCAACGCCGCGUGAGUGAAGAAGGUUUUCGGAUCGUAAAACUCUGUUGUUAGAGAAGAACAAGUGCUAGAGUAACUGUUAGUACCUUGACGGUAUCUAACCAGAAAGCCACGGCUAACUACGUGCCAGCAGCCGCGGUAAUACGUAGGUGGCAAGCGUUGUCCGGAUUUAUUGGGCGUAAAGCGAGCGCAGGCGGUUCCUUAAGUCUGAUGUGAAAGCCCCCGGCUCAACCGGGGAGGGUCAUUGGAAACUGGGGAACUUGAGUGCAGAAGAGGAGAGUGGAAUUCCAUGUGUAGCGGUGAAAUGCGUAGAUAUAUGGAGGAACACCAGUGGCGAAGGCGACGCUCUGGUCUGUAACUGACGCUGAGGCUCGAAAGCGUGGGUAGCAAACAGG